Molecule: transfer RNA, 72 nt
Filed under: Dolichogenidea sp. n. SNS-2016
Lineage: Eukaryota; Metazoa; Arthropoda; Insecta; Hymenoptera; Braconidae
Description: tRNA-Leu
Source: RNAcentral
AUUACUUUGGCAGAAAAAUGCUUUAAAUUUAGAUUUUAAAAAUGUAUAUAUAUAAUAUAUAUACAAGUAAUA